UUUGCUUUAUAGCCCAGGAGGAUGAGAACCUCCGGGGGGUAAGAGGUUCGACUCGAGCGUAGCGAGAGAACGUUGCGUCAGCAACGGCCCGCGGGGCGAGCCACGUAGUGGCGAGUAAUCCUCUACCACCGACCA
RNAcentral lists this small RNA (135 nucleotides) under Citrobacter freundii. RNAcentral describes it as "RtT sRNA". It matches the Rfam family "RtT RNA". Rfam says of the family: This family represents a bacterial cis-regulatory element known as RtT RNA. The exact function of RtT is unknown although it is thought that it may be involved in changing the cellular response in relation to amino acid starvation. The record is from RNAcentral. Lineage: Bacteria; Pseudomonadati; Pseudomonadota; Gammaproteobacteria; Enterobacterales; Enterobacteriaceae.